Molecule: long non-coding RNA, 431 nt
Organism: Hyla sarda
Lineage: Eukaryota; Metazoa; Chordata; Amphibia; Anura; Hylidae
Exons: 3
Source: RefSeq, a predicted model, not a curated record
AAAAAACUGACGAGAGGCUGGAAAUGGGACCAAGAAAAAAAAAAAAAGGAGAAAAGUACUCACAUCUACAUCAUAAAUGUGCUGUGAUGACACGUACAUUAUUUCAUGUGAUGCUACUGCCAAUUACAUGCAGGGUGCCUACAGCUGUGGCAAAAUGAUCUCUCUCCACUCAGCGGUCGCUUCACCAUUGAAGCAGAAGGACUCCCUGUCAUCACCUGACUAGUGAUAUCACAUCUCAACGCACUGCAACCUGGGUAAACCAGAGACCUGAUAAGCAUGCCACAUAUUACAAGACUGCAAAAGUAGAAGAAAAGAUGCACUUGAUGAACCUUGGAGGCGCCCCUGCAUACAUCACAUGUGUACCUGCUGAUUUUCUCUAAUAAAAAAACAUUGAAUUGGACCAGUGAGUGCGACAGUGUAUUUUUUCUUCU